RNAcentral lists this ribosomal RNA (484 nucleotides) under uncultured bacterium. Its description in RNAcentral is "partial 16S ribosomal RNA". It matches the Rfam family "Bacterial small subunit ribosomal RNA", at positions 29 to 523 of the family's 1533-position model. The record is from RNAcentral.
AGUGAACGCUGGCGGCGUGCUUAACACAUGCAAGUCGAACGAGAAUGGAUUAUAGCUUGCUAUAAUUGUCAGCUAAGUGGCGCACGGGUGAGUAAUGUAUAGGUAAUAUGCCUCUUACUAAGGGAUAACAAAUGGAAACGUUUGCUAAUACCUUAUACUCCUUAUUAACAGAUGUUAAUAAGGGAAAGAUUUAUUGGUAAGAGAUUAGCCUGUAUUGUAUCAGUUAGUUGGUGGGGUAAUGGCUUACCAAGACUAUGACACAUAACUGGUUUGAGAGGAUGAUCAGUCACACUGGAACUGAGACACGGUCCAGACUCCUACGGGAGGCAGCAUUGGGGAAUAUUGCAAAAUGGACGAAAGGCUGAUGCAGCAACGCCGCGUGGAGGAUUACACAUUUCGGUGCGUAAACUCCUUUUAUAUGAGAAGAUAAUGACGGUAUUAUAUGAAUAAGCACCGGCUAACUCCGUGCCAGCAGCCGCAGUAA